CUUGUUUAGAUGUUAUUACGAAUCAAACAGGAGUACUUUUUUUGGGCCACCCGGUACAUUACUGGAUUUUGCGGUUAUUGGCUGCCCUUCCGUUUUAAUAUAUCGUUGCCGUUAUUGAUGACUGAGAAGCUAUUGUGUCUGGAGUGUUCUAACGGUACUUUCAUAAGGCACCAUAAUGAGUAAUGACCCAGUUUUUUAAUUUCAUUGAAAUGAUAAUGAGGUUUUAUUAUGGAGUGAUACUGGCUUUCGUUCACCACUCGCUGCUAUAUAAAGCCUGGUUCACAUUGAUCGUAAACAUCGGCGAUGCCCAUUGUCGGUGGUCAUUGAUGCAUAAAAUGUUUUGUGCAUUUUCUUCGUUGCUCACAGACAAUGGAUCGUAGAACAUCGCCGAUCAAUGUGAACCA
This is a non-coding RNA of Paramuricea clavata, 404 nucleotides long. The record is from the annotation of a GenBank genome assembly. Lineage: Eukaryota; Metazoa; Cnidaria; Anthozoa; Malacalcyonacea; Plexauridae.